GUAGGGUUUCGCGCCGUAGGCCGCUGCGGCGAAGAGUGUGGGAACGGUAGGAGUGGGAGGAGGGUGGUGGUGGGUGCGGAGGGGGAGAGGGAGUUUGGAGAGGGAUAUGGAGGAGGCGAAGGAGAGCGACGCCAUGGGAGGAGAGGGGAGGAGCGCGACGACGACGCCAUGGGAGGAGAGGGGUGGAGAAGGGGAGGGAGAUAACUUCGCGGAGCACAUUGUGUAGGAUGAGG
RNAcentral lists this long non-coding RNA (233 nucleotides) under Ananas comosus (pineapple). RNAcentral's name for it is "long non-coding RNA (ACOM_LNC040284)". The record is from RNAcentral. Lineage: Eukaryota; Viridiplantae; Streptophyta; Magnoliopsida; Poales; Bromeliaceae.